AUUCACUGGAGGCAGCCACAACUAACGAGUGGGUGUUAAUGCUUGAGACUAAACGUCUCGCCUUCAAGCUACUUUGCUGGAGGUUCCCUUGGCCAUCUCCCGCUCUCUAAUGAUCAUCCCCGGGUCUCCCUGCAAUGUAUAAGAGAACUGAGGCUCGGACAGAAAGAAUGACGUUACCGAAAGUGGCUUUGCUUCUGCCUUGCCAGCCCAUUGCGCACUGCCUGCCGUGGUUCCAGCCCUCGCUGCCUCUCUUGACUAGCGUAGACCUGCCAUUGCGCCAGGCUCCCAUCGCUGCCAUGCCCUUGAGUGUCUCAAAUGCAGCAACAGGAGCUGCUGUUUCACACACAAUUCCAGGAAGAGCUCUGCUGGAUUUCCAUUCAAAUUCUGCCUCCACUCCCUCCUAGACACGUGGCCUUCGGCAGGUCAUGUCGCCUGUCUAAGCCCCUCAAAUGUAAAACAAGAAUAUAAAACUUCACAUGAGAGAGAAAGCAAAUGUAGCCAAAGGUUAGCAUUUGGUGAAUUUAGGAGUUCCUUAUGCUGUUCUUGUAGCUCUUCUGCAGAUUUGGGGAAGAGGGAGUUUAUAAGUGAAAGCACUGAGAUAUUCUGUAUUCUAGGCUUUAUGGUCUAAUACCACUGAGUUUAUUUUUUGAAAUAAAUAAUGCUGGACUCCUGAAAAAAAAAAAAGAAUAUCAAACUGCCCUAACCUCAUGGAGUGGUUGUGAGGAUUACGUGAAAGUUGGUUUAUUAAAAGCCUGAUGAUUUUUGUGUCCUGCUGAGUUGUUCUUUCUGUCAUCCGAAUAUUUGGUAAGUGCAUUCUCUAAGUCCUUAUUGAAUGCAUCGAUGUAAUUCUCUGGGGCAGGAGCAUUUCACAGGAACCAAGCUUGGAGCCACUCUGCUGGACACCUCAGCCAGGCUGACGUGGGGCCAGUGGUCAUUCCUGUUCCAAUGCAAUUAUUUAACCAGCUCAAAGUCCAGUGACCUGCUCUAAUGUCCCCUCAGCAUUUCCCCACUUCCUCCAUGAGCCUGGUGGAGCCUAGGAAUGAUCCAGGUGGAUGGUAUCACGGACCCAGCACCUCUAACAUGAGAAACUCUUGCAAAUACUUGCUUAAAAUAGACAUACUUUCCAUUGGCUGCUGCCUGUGACCUUUGAAGCUCUU
Molecule: long non-coding RNA, 1157 nt
Filed under: Callithrix jacchus (white-tufted-ear marmoset)
Lineage: Eukaryota; Metazoa; Chordata; Mammalia; Primates; Cebidae
Description: lncRNA (ENSCJAG00000078737.1)
Source: RNAcentral